CACAGAGAAAGGACGUAAUUUGGUUGACUCUUUUUGAUUCAAGGACCUUGGAGGGCUGAGGUCCAAGCAGUGUCAGAGGCUUGAUGAGAAUUAAAAAAAAAUCUGGAAUUUCCAGCCCCCCUCACCAGAGGAGUGCGGAUACCACUGAUCAGAUGGAAGGCUUUGAUUUGGAAGGCAGCUGUGUGACAAGCAGGCUGAACAUGGGCACUCCUUUUGCCAAUGAGUGUACCGGAACACCAGGAAGCUGGGUGCAAAAUCAAAGCAACUCUUCCC
RNAcentral lists this long non-coding RNA (273 nucleotides) under Pan troglodytes (chimpanzee). RNAcentral describes it as "lncRNA (ENSPTRG00000054321.1)". Lineage: Eukaryota; Metazoa; Chordata; Mammalia; Primates; Hominidae. The record is from RNAcentral.